GGGUGUUAGGAAGAGAAGACAAGAAAAUCGAAAUGAAGCGAUGUUAUGUCAUCGACUUUUGUCUGACCUCUUGCUCGGAUGUUUACUGACCACAAGGUCUGAAUCUUAUUGAUGAUAAGAGAUGAAGUCCUAUUACUAACAUAGAAGGAAAAACUCUCUAAAAUCUCAGACAUGGGUACUGAUAUACCCUAAGAUGGAUC
Molecule: long non-coding RNA, 200 nt
Filed under: Elaeis guineensis (African oil palm)
Lineage: Eukaryota; Viridiplantae; Streptophyta; Magnoliopsida; Arecales; Arecaceae
Description: long non-coding RNA (EGUI_LNC054803)
Source: RNAcentral